UACAGAGGGUGCAAGCGUUGUUCGGAUUCAUUGGGCGUAAAGGGUGCGUAGGUGGCGCCGUAAGUCAGGUGUGAAAUCUCGGGGCUCAACCCCGAAACUGCACUUGAUACUGCGGUGCUCGAGUACUGGAGAGGAGAUUGGAAUUUACGGUGUAGCAGUGAAAUGCGUAGAUAUCGUAAGGAAGACCAGUGGCGAAGGCGAAUCUCUGGACAGUUACUGACACUGAGGCACGAAGGCCAGGGGAGCAAACGGG
This 253-nucleotide ribosomal RNA is filed under the name uncultured bacterium. Its description in RNAcentral is "partial 16S ribosomal RNA". It matches the Rfam family "Bacterial small subunit ribosomal RNA", at positions 524 to 776 of the family's 1533-position model. The record is from RNAcentral.